Molecule: ribosomal RNA, 251 nt
Filed under: uncultured archaeon
Lineage: Archaea
Description: partial 16S ribosomal RNA
Rfam family: Archaeal small subunit ribosomal RNA
Source: RNAcentral
AUUAGUACCCGUGUAGUCCCAGCCGUAAACUAUGCGCGUUAGGUGUAUCGGUGACCACGAGUCACCGAGGUGCCGAAGGAACCGUGAAACGUGCCGCCUGGGAAGUACGGUCGCAAGGCUGAAACUUAAAGGAAUUGGCGGGGAGCACCACAACGGGUGGAGCCUGCGGUUUAAUUGGACUCAACGCCGGGAAGCUCACCGGAUAAGACAGCGGAAUGAUUGCCGGGCUGAAGACUCUGCAUGACUAGCUG